UUGAUCCUGCCGGACCUGACUGCUAUCGGAUUGAUACUAAGCCAUGCGAGUCAUUGUAGCAAUGCAAGGCAGACGGCUCAGUAACGCGUAGUCAACCUACCCUAUGGACGGGAAUAAUCUCGGGAAACUGAGGAUAAUUCCAGAUAGAACACUAUGCCUGGAACGGUUUGUGUUCCAAAUGAUUUAUCGCCAUAGGAUGGGACUGCGGCCUAUCAGUUUGUUGGUGAGGUAAUGGCCCACCAAGACUAUUACAGGUACGGGCUCUGAGAGGAGUAGCCCGGAGAUGGGUACUGAGACACGGACCCAGGCCCUAUGGGGCGCAGCAGGCGAGAAAACUUUGCAAUGUGCGAAAGCACGACAAGGUUAAUCCGAGUGGUUCCUGCUAAAGGAACCUUUUGACGGUCCUAAAAACACCGUUGAAUAAGGGGUGGGCAAGUUCUGGUGUCAGCCGCCGCGGUAAAACCAGCACCUCAAGUGGUCAGGAUGAUUAUUGGGCCUAAAGCAUCCGUAGCCGGCUCUGUUAGUUUUCGGUUAAAUCUGUACGCUCAACGUACAGGCUGCCGGGAAUACUACAGAGCUAGGGAGUGGGAGAGGUAGACGGUACUUGGUAGGAAGGGGUAAAAUCCUUUGAUCUAUUGAUGACCACCUGUGGCGAAGGCGGUCUACUAGAACACGUCCGACGGUGAGGGAUGAAAGCUGGGGGAGCAAACCGGAUUAGAUACCCGGGUAGUCCCAGCUGUAAACCAUGCAAACUCAAUGAUGCACUGGCUUGAAGCCAAUGCAGUGUUGCAGGGAAGCCGUUAAGUUUGCCGCCUGGGAAGUACGUACGCAAGUAUGAAACUUAAAGGAAUUGGCGGGGGUGCACCACAAGGGGUGAAGCCUGCGGUUC
This 889-nucleotide ribosomal RNA is filed under the name uncultured Nitrosopumilales archaeon. Its description in RNAcentral is "bacterial SSU rRNA". It matches the Rfam family "Archaeal small subunit ribosomal RNA", at positions 8 to 903 of the family's 1478-position model. The record is from RNAcentral. Lineage: Archaea; Thermoproteati; Nitrososphaerota; Nitrososphaeria; Nitrosopumilales.